This 232-nucleotide ribosomal RNA is filed under the name Mycolicibacterium tokaiense. RNAcentral describes it as "partial 23S ribosomal RNA". It matches the Rfam family "Bacterial large subunit ribosomal RNA", at positions 559 to 772 of the family's 2925-position model. Lineage: Bacteria; Bacillati; Actinomycetota; Actinomycetes; Mycobacteriales; Mycobacteriaceae. The record is from RNAcentral.
UGCGCUUACAAUCCGUCAGAGCCCUCCUUCGUGGUGGGGUGAUGGCGUGCCUUUUGAAGAAUGAGCCUGCGAGUCAGGGGCAUGUCGCGAGGUUAACCCGGGUGGGGUAGCCGUAGCGAAAGCGAGUCUGAAUAGGGCGUAUCCCCGUGAGGGGUGUAGUGGCAUGUUCUGGACCCGAAGCGGAGUGAUCUACCCAUGGCCAGGGUGAAGCGCGGGUAAGACCGUGUGGAGG